RNAcentral lists this ribosomal RNA (480 nucleotides) under uncultured bacterium. Its description in RNAcentral is "SSU rRNA". It matches the Rfam family "Bacterial small subunit ribosomal RNA", at positions 26 to 505 of the family's 1533-position model. The record is from RNAcentral.
AGGAUGAACGCUGGCGGCGUGCCUAAUACAUGCAAGUCGUGCGGCAGCGAGCUUUACACUGUUUACUGGAGAAUUAUCUCAAGUACGCAGUGUAAAGUGUCGGCGAGCGGCGGACGGCUGAGUAACGCGUAGGAACGUACCCCAAAGUGAGGGAUAAGCACCAGAAAUGGUGUCUAAUACCGCAUGUGCUCUAAGGAGUAAAGCUUCGGCGCUUUGGGAACGGCCUGCGUAAGAUUAGCUUGUUGGUGAGGUAAAAGCUCACCAAGGCGACGAUCUUUAGCUGGUCUGAGAGGAUGAUCAGCCAGACUGGGACUGAGACACGGCCCAGACUCCUACGGGAGGCAGCAGUAGGGAAUUUUCCACAAUGGGCGAAAGCCUGAUGGAGCAACGCCGCGUGCAGGAUGAAGGCCUUAGGGUUGUAAACUGCUUUAUCUGUGACGAAUAUGACGGUAGCAGAUGAAUAAGGAUCGGCUAACUCCG